Molecule: microRNA precursor, 57 nt
Organism: Monodelphis domestica (gray short-tailed opossum)
Lineage: Eukaryota; Metazoa; Chordata; Mammalia; Didelphimorphia; Didelphidae
Source: Ensembl
UACGAGUAUACCUUGGUUACGUGUUAGUAAAAAUAGUAACCAUGACAUACUCGUUCC